GAGAAAACCAUGGGAGGAGGGGAGAGAAUGAUGGAGAGCAGAGGAGGAGAAAGAGAUAGGGGCGGGGGAAGACUGACACAUUGUAAAGGGUGUUAAAGGGGAAGGGAAGAGCAUGCACUGUACAGGCAUCAGGAAUGGCUGUCCGCUCUACCACUUCCAUCGGAUGGGGAGAGAGAUGGUGAAUGUAGACAGGGCUCUCAUGUCCCUCCACCCUGGUCCAGUUUUUUCAGAGUCGAGGCACAGAGAUGGAAGGAGCAGGGGGAGAAGGAAGGCGAUACUGAAUCUGAGAGCGGAGCUCUUCAAACACCAGCCUUUCUCUUCCUUCCCUCCAUUUAGCUGCCUGACGCUCCCCAGAACACUGAUUCUUCAGAGGCACGCUCAGACAGCUGUGGGUACCUGGACUAGAGCAGACCCACAGAACUGGGCUAACCAAACACAGCCUAAGGAAGUUGUCUGACAGACCAUACGGAGUAAGUGAUCAAACAAGGAACUUAGUAAUUAUUCCUGAAUUAUUGUUUGACUGUGUUUGUGCUAUUUUAGGGGAGAUGAUGAAAGCGCUUGUGAAUUCAUAAUUCUUGAACUGCAAUCCAUAGACGCUCCACUCAAACAAGAAGACCAAGUGAGACCAAAUGUAUAGUUCAAAGGUUAAAGACGAGAGGACACCAAGGCCUGGUCAGAGGAGGUCUAGGGUAUGUGGACAUAGGUAAGUAUUUACUGUAUGUCACAGGUUACAUUGGAUGGAACAGAAUGGACAGGAAAUAGAAUGGCCUGUUAAUCUGAGUGUAGUGCCCUCUUACAGAACCCCCCCCCAGUGAGCCUGGGCCUGUAACGGAAUGACCACCUCAUGACAUAUUAGUGAUGUGCUGCUUUUAAUUAGCCCAACGGGAGCGUUUACCUAGUUAAACAUUUAUGAACCAGAUGGCCAUUAGAACAAUGCUUCAGAGACCAAACUACAGCCAACAAACAUGUGGUUCCUUUGAGAAGCCUGAUGAGCACUGCAGGUCUAUUGCAACCCCAAGUAUACAGACAAUCAUACUAAAUAUAUACAACAUGUACUAAAUCAUGCAAAGGCUUAGAGACAAAGAGGACAAGGUUGAAGACUCACAUUCUCCACUGGAUGGGAAAUCAGGUUUCCCUUGGAGAGAGCUGCUGUCCUCUACAGGAGGUCACCUACACAGAGAGACAGGUUCAGGGAGACGUGUUGCAGACGCCCUCUAUUUUCUGCAGUCUUAUUUGAAUAAACCUGACCUGACCAUAAUUCAACAUGAGAGAAGAUAAACUGGCAGUGUGGCACCUUGACAAAAAAGCAGACCACCAGACACAGCACAAAGGAUGGGUGGUAACACUAUUUUUAAGGGUAUAUAAAACAUUUAUAAGGCCUUUAUAAACAGUUUGCUCACCAUUUAUUAAUAUUUACUCCCACAUGUGUAAAUCUUAGUAAAGUAGUUAUUCACAUAUGAAGCUCUGGAAAAAAAAUUAUGUGACCAGUGCAAAAUGACCAGUUUCUCUAAUUUGACUAUUUAUAGGUAUGUGUUUGGGUAAAAUGAAAAUGUUUGUUUUAUUCUUUAAACUACUGACAACAUUUCUCCCAAAUUCCAAAUAAAGAUAUUGUCAUAUAGAGCAUUUAUUUGCAGAAAAUGAUAACUGGUCAAAAUAACAAAAAAGAUGCAGUGCUGUACUGUUCAGACCUCGGAUAAUGCAAAGAAAAUAAGUUCAUAUUCAUGUUUAAACAACCCAAUACUAAUGUUUUAACUUAGGAAGAGUUCAGAAAUCAAUUUGGUGGAACAACCCUGAUUUUCAAUCACAGCUUUCAUGCGUCUUGGCAUGCUCUCCACCAGCCUUUCACAUUGAUGUUGGGUGACUUUAUGCCAUUCCUGGCGCACAAAUUCAAGCGGCUCGGCUUUGUUUGAUGGCUUGUGACCAUCCAUCUGCCUCUUGAUCACAUUCCAGAGGUUUUUAAUGGGGUUCAGGUCUGGAGAUUGGGCUGGCCAUGACAGGGUCUUGAUCUGGUGGUCCUCCAUCUACACCUUGAUUAUGAUGGUGUUCACCUUGGGGUCAUGAUAGGGGCUGCACCAAAUGAUUGAUGUAUUUUAAUAAUUGAUUAUGCUUAUGUUGUAUUAAUAGAAGGGGAAGGGCUAUAAGACCCUCCCCCACUACAUUUAUAGGGUCCUGGACCACAGAUUAGCAAUAUAUUCAUUAUAAGGUUAAUACUGUUCCACAGUUAUUUUCUAGUCUCUGCCUCUUAUAAGAAACGGUCUGAGAGAUGUGUGAGCCAUUGCAGUCAAAACAGGGUGUCUGUGAGAAAGCGCCUCAAGGCUAAAAGAGAUACAUAGACACAGAACCUUGCAGGGGAGUAAAGAGAUAAGAGACAAGUCAGAUAUUCCACUGUAAGCCACACAGGAAUGGAAAUUACUGCUGAGCCCUUAGAAAACACUGGACUAUUGUUUUCUCCUGCAAGUUUGUAUAACUGUAUAUGCAUGGGCUUGGUCUCAUGAGUAGAAGGUGUUGACGUAGGCAGUUACAUCACUAGGGGUUGACUGCACGCAUAUUAAAGCAACUUUGACCUUUUUUAUUUUGCAGAACUUACUCUGAAACAUGCAUGCUAUGUUUCCAUUGUCAACUUCUGUCUGCAAUUAUGUGAACAAAGGUUUGAUUGAUUUACUUGAAGAUAUUGUUUGAUUUCAUCAAUAAGCCAAUGAUUGACAAGGAACAAGGAAACUACCCCAACAAUUGACCUGGCUGUGUGGCAUGGAGCAUUGUCCUGCUGGAAAAAACUAUCCGUGGGGAACAUUGUCAGAGUAGAAGGAAGCAAGUUCUUUUCCUGGACAACCUUGUACGUGGCUUGAUUCAGGCGUCCUUCACAAAGACAAAUCUUCCCAAUUCCAGCCUUGCAUAAGCACCCCCAGAUCAUCACCAAUCCUACACCAAAUUUCACAGUGGGUGCAAGACCUGGAGAGACCUACAAGCCACAGUGUCUUAUUUUUUUUAAACAUUAUUCGAGGUCUGACAACACUGCAUCUUUUUUUGUUAUUUUGACCAGUUGUCUUUUUCUGCAAAUAAAUGCUCUAAAUGACAAUAAUUUUAUUUAGAAUUUGGGAGAAAUGUUGUCAGUAGUUUAUAGAAUAAAACAAAAAUGUUAAUUUUACCCAAACACAUACCUUUGUGUUUGGGUAUAUAAAUAGUAAAACCAGAGAAAUGGAUAAUUUUGCAGUGGUCUCUUAAUUUUUUCCAGAGCUGUAUAUACAGUACCAGUCAAAAGUUUGAACACACCUACUCAUUCAAGUGUUGUUCUUUAUUUUACAAUUUUCUACAUUGUAGAAUAAUAGUGAAGACAUAUUAGAUUUGUUUAUUUGAGAUUCUGCAAAGUAACCACCUGUCAUGACUCUCUCUCUCUUGAUUGAGGAUCAUAGGUGCCAGAUCAGCUCGGCACAGGGCUGACAGAUAGCCAGACUCCCCCCUCCUCCUCUCUCCCACCAGAGAUUUAUCACUUAACAACCGGAUUGUAAAUACCUGGCAGAAACUCUCCCUUCUGCUCUGCAGUAUUGAGUUCAAAAUCAUUUGUGUGUAGAGAGACUUUAACAUCAAAAGACUGGACAUUGGAACAUUCGUUUUGGAAUCCAAACAUCUGGAAUGGUUGGUGGGGAUCCAAACAAUAAUCAUGUCAUGUAAUGUGUUGUUUUGUGAUGUCAUUAAGGAUGGUAUAACAAGAUAACUGGAGCUCUGCAAGUGUGUACGUCCUUGUUAUCGGAAUUCCAUCUAAAUGUUGUAAAACUUAUAUGAUUAAAUAUGAAACUAUUUGUGAAAAGAUAGCAAUGUGAUUUUAGCCUUCUAAAUGAGAAAUUGUAAUUCAAAUAAAGUUGUAUCUAGUCAGUAACCACGCCUACGUGAGCACAGACAUUAUUCUGGUGUGAUGGAACACCCCCUUUGACCAGGGUGCUUAAAAAGGACUCGUAACAAAAUGUACAUUAGACCAGAGAAAGUGAGGACAAUCCACACGUUGAAAUGGUUGCAAAGACCAGACAGUGUGGAGCGGUGGCUACAUGGCUGACAAAUGGUUUAAAACCACAACACCAGAAAAUGGUAAGACCCUCUGAAACUCUCGACGAGUGAAGAAGAUAUACAGCUGCAGACUGUGAAUGUGUCUAUGUAAAAUAGUCUAGGAAACUCAACCGAAGACGAGAAAAUAAUAACAUUUCCCCAAAGACCAACGUGUGUGGAACAUCUGAAGGAUCCAGUCUAACAAACACUCAGAGACAAAGAAGCCUACUACAACUACAAAAGACAUUGUGACCUCUGGUAGACAAACCAGAGACAUCUGUCGAAAUACUUUUCAUAGAUGGCCCGGGUGAUUUCAACAGAGAGACGACAAAGACAUACAAGCGUAAAUAUGUGUUGCAUUUCUAAAUCCGAAUGAGCGGUUGUUAGGGUGCUAAAUAUCAUUUUUACGAUGAGUGUAUUUUCCACAUGUAUGUACAAUAAGCCCACUCUCUGUCUCUCCCGCUCUUUCUUUUCCCAACCCUUUUAUUGUGUAACAAGCCGUCAUAUCGGGUUAGUCCACUAGGGACUUUUCAUUGCAUUAUAUUAGUAAUCAAUAACCUAUAACAUCUGUGUGUUUAUGUAUUUCUGUGUGACUGUUUAGUUAGUUAGUAAAUAAAUGAUCAAGACUAUUUGUGUAUCGCUGAAUCACCACUUUUAGGCUAGGGUUCGUGUAGAUUUACGAGGUCAACUAUGUUCAGAAUGAGACUGACAUGAGAAAAUUAUUAAUUGAUGGCUGGUAUGAUAACGAUAUAUUCUGAUAUAUUCUUGAGUUCGUUCGGGAAAAGGUAACUCAUUAAACAAACUUUUCACGUG
Oncorhynchus kisutch (coho salmon) is the source of this 4851-nucleotide long non-coding RNA. The record is from Ensembl. NCBI's taxonomy places the organism in Eukaryota, Metazoa, Chordata, Actinopteri, Salmoniformes, Salmonidae.